RNAcentral lists this ribosomal RNA (250 nucleotides) under uncultured prokaryote. RNAcentral's name for it is "partial 16S ribosomal RNA". It matches the Rfam family "Bacterial small subunit ribosomal RNA", at positions 524 to 773 of the family's 1533-position model. The record is from RNAcentral.
UACAUAUGGGGCGAGCGUUAUCCGGAAUUAUUGGGUGUAAAGGGUGCGUAGACGGGAAGCUAAGUUAGUAGUGAAAUCCCCAGGCUUAACUUGGGAAUUGCUACUAAGACUGACUUUCUUGAGUACUGGAGAGGAAAGUGGAAUUCCUAGUGUAGCGGUGAAAUGCGUAGAUAUUAGGAGGAACACCAGUGGCGAAGGCGACUUUCUUGACAGAAACUGACGUUGAGGCACGAAAGUGCGGGGAGCAAAC